Molecule: long non-coding RNA, 425 nt
Filed under: Homo sapiens (human)
Lineage: Eukaryota; Metazoa; Chordata; Mammalia; Primates; Hominidae
Description: non-protein coding lnc-ZNF8-1:4
Source: RNAcentral
CAGUGUGAGACCCUAUCUCAAAAAAAAAGUGAUGUCGGGAGGCUGAGAGGAUGAGUGACUGGGGCAGGAGAUGAGUACUUUCCCUUUUAAGCCCAUAGCAUUUAAUUCCCUGGUGGUUCACUUCUUAUUUGGAUAACUAACAAAUUAUUUCAAAUGUGUGCCUAUAGGUGAGAGAAGCAAUGGUACAUGAGGAGAAAUUUGGAGACAGACAACUUGUCACGCAUACAGGGAAAAUGACAUUUGAAGACAAAGUCAGACAUCUACAAGCCAAGGAAUGCCAGAGAUUGCCAGCAAACCACCAAAAACUAAGGAAAGGGAUGGAACAUAUACUUUCUUGUAGCCCUCAGAAGGAACCAACUAUGCCAACACUUUGAUCUCAGACUUCUGGCUUCCACAACUGUAACAAUAAAUUUAUGUCGUUUAAG